RNAcentral lists this non-coding RNA (23 nucleotides) under Arabidopsis thaliana (thale cress). Lineage: Eukaryota; Viridiplantae; Streptophyta; Magnoliopsida; Brassicales; Brassicaceae. The record is from RNAcentral.
CUGCCUUGGAUGGAUCGGCCAGA